This 352-nucleotide ribosomal RNA is filed under the name uncultured bacterium. RNAcentral's name for it is "bacterial SSU rRNA". It matches the Rfam family "Bacterial small subunit ribosomal RNA", at positions 917 to 1271 of the family's 1533-position model. The record is from RNAcentral.
GGGCCCGCACAAGCGGUGGAGCAUGUGGUUUAAUUCGAUGAUACGCGAGGAACCUUACCAGGGCUUAAAUGUAGUGGGACAGGUCUAGAGAUAGACCCUUCUUCGGACUCAUUACAAGGUGCUGCAUGGUUGUCGUCAGCUCGUGCCGUGAGGUGUCAGGUUAAGUCCUAUAACGAGCGCAACCCCUAUCGUUAGUUGCCAGCACAUUAUGGUGGGAACUCUAAGGAGACUGCCGGUGACAAACCGGAGGAAGGUGGGGGACGACGUCAAGUCAUCAUGGCCCUUACGGCCUGGGCUACACACGUGCUACAAUGGCUAGGACAGACGGCCGCAAACCCGCAGGGGGAGCCAA